ACAUUUCGGAUCUCUUAAAAAAAAUUUAGAUUCCCCUACCAUGACGCUGGUUGAUGCCUAUAUCUUAUGUUUUGUUUAAAUUUUUAUUGGGAACAGUAAGAGUAUAUGUGAAAGAGUGAAAGGGAAAGUGGCAGAUAUGGUAAUUCUGAAGAAAUAUAGAGUCCGGUUUGGUCCUGGAAACUUUCCAAAUGGUGCACAGAGAGGAAAGCUUGACAGUUUUUAUCGAAAAAAGCUAUUUGUUUUUUGAGUUUUUUCUAUUAAUUAGCUUUUAAUAAGUGAAAUAUUUAUAAACGUCUCUUUUAGCUGUUUUUUGGGGAUUUUUUUUUUUGUAAAUUUUCCCUUUUUUGCAUUCAUUUGAAUGUCUUUGAUCAUUCCUCUAGCUAAUUUGCAGCAGAAAAUAUACCAAUUUCAUGUUUUUUUGUUUUUUCUUACCAUAUGUUGCAGAACAGUAAUAUUGCAGAUUUCUUUCUUAAGUGCAAGACACAAAUCUAAAAUCGAGCUAAACCGAAUCUCGAAAUAACAAUAAAGUUCUCUCACUGCUUAUUCAAACCCGAAAUUCUUAUCAUUCAACUCAACAAGCAUUAGAAUGCUGCUGCAGAUUAAACUAUUUUUUCAUGAAUUCUACAGAACAUAUAUGAUAAAAUAGUGAUGCAAUAUCAAUGCAAAUUUUGUGGAACCCUUGAAAAACUCAUCCUUUUUCUUGCUAUACUGAAUUGACCAUUGCAGGUCCCAUUUUCUCUCUGGUUCCAACGCUACCUUUUAAACACAAAAAUUAUUGGCAUUGAGGGGUUAACCAUCAAAGCUGCAAUACAAAUACAAAGUCACAAAAUAUUGCAGAAAAAAAGGGUGUUUUUUUGUUGUGGAAAGAGCAAAAAGAAACAUCGUUAAAUGCAGUGUUGAUGAACUUAUCAAAACAGAAAAAAAGCUCAUCAACGCUGCACUCAACAAUGUUUCUUCAAUCUGAGAUAAUAUAUGUAAAUGCUUAACUUAAUUCAACCGAUCAACAUGCAUAUACAUAUAUAUAUGUUACGUUGGGGAAAUAUUUAAGUCACCUUUCAAUUUGUCUGCAGCUCUUUGAAUGAAGUUUGCUUGGAGUAGUUGUACUAAUUUUCUUUUUGUUUUCUUGGAUUGGAAUCUUUACCACAUUUAACACCAACAAUGCAACUAUCGAAUUCAUUUGUAUGGUUUGCCAUAACUUUCUCUAGAGAUAGUAUAGUAUGUAAAAAAAAAAUUGUAUAAAUGGUUGGCUCUUUUUCACAAUUGCAAGCAACUA
RNAcentral lists this long non-coding RNA (1273 nucleotides) under Gossypium barbadense (sea-island cotton). Its description in RNAcentral is "long non-coding RNA (GBAR_LNC008700)". The stretch from base 872 to 956 matches the Rfam family "MIR397 microRNA precursor family". Lineage: Eukaryota; Viridiplantae; Streptophyta; Magnoliopsida; Malvales; Malvaceae. The record is from RNAcentral.